RNAcentral lists this ribosomal RNA (926 nucleotides) under uncultured bacterium. RNAcentral's name for it is "bacterial SSU rRNA". It matches the Rfam family "Bacterial small subunit ribosomal RNA", at positions 8 to 916 of the family's 1533-position model. The record is from RNAcentral.
AGAGUUUGAUCAUGGCUCAGGACGAACGCUGGCGGCGUGCCUAAUACAUGCAAGUAGAACGCUGAAGAAAGGAGCUUGCUUCUUUUGGAUGAGUUGCGAACGGGUGAGUAACGCGUAGGUAACCUGCCUUGUAGCGGGGGAUAACUAUUGGAAACGAUAGCUAAUACCGCAUAACAGCUUUUGGCACAUGUUAGAAGCUUGAAAGAUGCAAUUGCAUCACUACGAGAUGGACCUGCGUUGUAUUAGCUAGUAGGUAGGGUAACGGCCUACCUAGGCGACGAUACAUAGCCGACCUGAGAGGGUGAUCGGCCACACUGGGACUGAGACACGGCCCAGGCUCCUACGGGAGGCAGCAGUAGGGAAUCCUCGGCAAUGGGGGCAACCCUGACCGAGCAACGCCGCGUGAGUGAAGAAGGUUUUCGGAUCGUAAAGCUCUGUUGUAAGAGAAGAACGUGUGUGAGAGUGGAAAGUUCACACAGUGACGGUAACUUACCAGAAAGGGACGGCUAACUACGUGCCAGCAGCCGCGGUAAUACGUAGGUCCCGAGCGUUGUCCGGAUUUAUUGGGCGUAAAGCGAGCGCAGGCGGUUUAAUAAGUCUGAAGUUAAAGGCAGUGGCUUAACCAUUGUUCGCUUUGGAAACUGUUAAACUUGAGUGCAGAAGGGGAGAGUGGAAUUCCAUGUGUAGCGGUGAAAUGCGUAGAUAUAUGGAGGAACACCGGUGGCGAAAGCGGCUCUCUGGUCUGUAACUGACGCUGAGGCUCGAAAGCGUGGGGAGCAAACAGGAUUAGAUACCCUGGUAGUCCACGCCGUAAACGAUGAGUGCCAGGUGUUAGGCCCUUUCCGGGGCUUAGUGCCGCAGCUAACGCAUUAAGCACUCCGCCUGGGGAGUACGACCGCAAGGUUGAAACUCAAAGGAAUUGACGG